AUGGAGCUGUGCGAGGGCGGCGAGCUCUUCGACCGCAUCUUCGCCCGGAGCCACUACACGGAGCGUGUCGCCGCCAAGAUCGGCCGCACCAUCGCGCAGGUCGUGCAGCUGUGCCACGACAACGGGGUCAUGCACCGGGACCUCAAGCCCGAGCUCUUCGCCGGCAAGGAGGAGUACUCGCCGCUCAAGGCCAUCGACUUCGGCCUCUCCGUCUACUUUGAGCCCGGGGAGCGGUUCACCAAGGUCGUCGGCAGGUGGCGGGGAGACGGACGCCAUCCUAGGAGGGAGGGCAGCGCAGGUGGCGGGGCUCGCCGGCCGGCGGGGGCAGAGCGGCAGAGCGGCGGAGUGCACGUAAGGUGUUCGUGGAAAUGA
RNAcentral lists this ribosomal RNA (372 nucleotides) under Triticum aestivum (bread wheat). Its description in RNAcentral is "partial small subunit ribosomal RNA". The record is from RNAcentral. Lineage: Eukaryota; Viridiplantae; Streptophyta; Magnoliopsida; Poales; Poaceae.